This 468-nucleotide ribosomal RNA is filed under the name uncultured bacterium. RNAcentral's name for it is "partial 16S ribosomal RNA". It matches the Rfam family "Bacterial small subunit ribosomal RNA", at positions 28 to 507 of the family's 1533-position model. The record is from RNAcentral.
GACGAACGCUGGCGGCGUGCUUAACACAUGCAAGUCGAACGGAAAGGCCCUGCUUUUGUGGGGUGCUCGAGUGGCGAACGGGUGAGUAACACGUGAGUAACCUGCCCUUGACUUUGGGAUAACUUCAGGAAACUGGGGCUACUACCGUAUAGGAUCUCCUGUUGCAUGGUGGGGGUUGGAAAGUCUCGGCGGUUGGGGAUGGACUCGCGGCUUAUCAGCUUGCUGGUGGGGUAGUGGCUUACCAAGGCUUUGACGGGUAGCCGGCCUGAGAGGGUGACCGGCCACAUUGGGACUGAGAUACGGCCCAGACUCCUACGGGAGGCAGCAGUGGGGAAUAUUGCACAAUGGGCGGACGCCUGAUGCAGCAACGCCGCGUUCGGGAUGACGGCCUUCGGGUUGUAAACCGCUUUCGCCUGUGACGAAGCGUGAGUGACGGUAAUGGGUAAAGAAGCACCGGCUAACUACGUG